Molecule: small RNA, 129 nt
Rfam family: tp2
Source: Rfam
GUUAUUCCUUAUCUUCUUUAAUCAGUUAGUUUAUUGGAGCCUGUCUUCCUGCAUUCUGGCUUAGGUUUCGCCAUAAGCAAAACGCAUGAAGACAGGCUCAUCGUCGUCAUUGCCGCAUUCAGAGCCCCA